Molecule: long non-coding RNA, 4363 nt
Filed under: Homo sapiens (human)
Lineage: Eukaryota; Metazoa; Chordata; Mammalia; Primates; Hominidae
Description: HSALNT0375620
Source: RNAcentral
GAAAUGAAGGAGGAAAUCUCUUUAUAAAGGUUUCUAAAGAAAUUAAAAAAAUUAACUUGUACAUUGACUUUGUAAUGGAAGUGAGAACAUACAGGAAAGCCCUUUGGGGAGUUAGCUUUAGAAGGGAAAUACCGGGAAAUACAAGUAAGACAAGGCACUUACAGAAAAAGUAGAAAUUUCAUGUUUAAUAAAUGGUCAAAUUUAACAUAGCUCUGAAUAUAUAAUUUUCCAUUAGAAUAUUGGUAACAACAUUGCAGUAAACUUGAGUCUGGGUACCCCGCACUGAGUAAAAAUGGUAGAUUCUAUUUUGUGUGAGUUCAGUCAAAGAGACAUGGGGGACAAUUAGUCCGGUCUCUGCUUCUGUUGUUUAGCAGAGCCUCCAGCCCGGAAGCACACUGAGAUGUCUUGUGUUUUUCAGAUCUUUAAUUUUUGAAUGCUGUACUGUACCCAAGGACCUCGCUUUUUUUCACUGUGCAUAUGCAUGAUGUGGGACAUCCCAUAUUGGAGACACAGAUGACUUAUUGAAAGCCCUGCCUAAGACUUAAUUAAUAUCAGCAUUUCAAGUAGCUUGCAAGAUUGGAUUCUGUGGCUAUAUACUAUAGGAAUAUAGACUUCCUGGUCUUUUUCUUACUGCCUCCAAAUAUAACCAGAUAAUCCUCUGUCUGGUUUCUUGGGAGCCACUUGUAUCUUACUUUCUUGCAGGAACAUUCUAAAGGGUUCCUUCAGAAAACUUGGGAAAGUGUAAGACUAAAGACAAACCACAGCCUGAAGCCUAGGCUGCUGACUUGAGCACAGAUGGGAGAAUGUUAACAGCCAAGAAAUAUGAGGUCUUUGGCUCUUUUCCCAGAACUGCCAGGCUAAGACCUUGGCAGAGACUCAACAGGAAACUGAACUCUAUUUGCAUAUCCUUUUAUACAUGGGAGAUUAAAAGCUUCAACCUUGAGUGAUCACAGUUUUUGAGAAUCAUGAUGAGGCAUUAAAGAAGAGGAGGAGUGUCUCAAGGGAGGUGAGCUGGAGGUGAUGCAAGCCUCAGACUCAGGGCUGGGACCCUUGGGACUCAAAAGAGAGAAAAGGUGGAGAAAAGAGAAAGCUACUAUUUUCUUCAUUUUGCCCCUGCUAACAUCCAAUGCACUUAGGAGCCUCGAUGUCUGCUCUCCAAGAGUGGAGAGAGGAUGCCAGACAGAUAUUUGAGCAGAACAAAGAGAGCCAACAGGAUGAAGGCAUUCCCUGGCUGGUUGGACAAGCAACUGAAGAACAGGAACAGAAGUGAAUGAAAAGAGAAGAUGCUGUGUUUGUGUUUUCUCUUGGUUAGAAUGCUGUGAGUCAGGACCUUAGCUGCUGGGUGUCCUGGGACUGCCUUCGAUGAAGAACCUGAGGCUCACCUUGCUUAAGUGACUUGAGCAGCUUCACGCAUCUUGUAAGUAGUAGAGACAGAGUCAAAACCAGAUCUUCCUGCCCUCUCUAUCAUAUAAACCACUUACACUGAAUUACAAAGUGAAACUGAUCUAUGGUGAAUUGUACUAAUGUUCUGCUUCUGCCAUGGGCACCAGAGGAGAUACCUUUCUUUGUUGACACUAAUCUCAAAGGCUAAAUUAGAUCCCCCAAACUCAUUUCCAUUAAUAACAUGUCAAAGGCUUGUGUCAUGCGUUAAUUUAUCCAAAGUGAUCUUGAUUCUAUUUACAUUUUGGUGCCACCUUUUAAUGUCACCAUUUUUAUAAAUUAAAUAUGUAAUAUAUAAAGCCAGUCUUCACUUACUGAUAUGUUAAUUUUUAACCCAAACUUCUUAGUCUGACAUUCCAGCAAUACCGGAGCAUUGACAGUUGAUAAUAGCUCUAUGUGCUACCUCUCCAAGAAACAAAUUUGCAUUUUAACCUGCCCCUUCAAUGGCUGAACUUCAAAGGGUCACUGAUGAAUGCCACAGCAGGUUGGUGGGAAUAUAAUUCUUUUUAUGGAUAAUAUUUGUGUGUGUAUGUGUGUGUGUGUGUUAAAUCCUACCACAUAAGUCACUAACCUAUGGGUAAGGCCAGUCUUGACCUAAAAUGAGGAAUUCUGUAAAAUUUCAAAUGCAAAUCACAUUUUAUUUUUGAUGUUAGAGAAAACUGCAAAUUGGAACAGCAGAGCUGUGCCUCUGGCCAUUUCCUGGAACUACAGAGGAGCAACUUGCCCCGGUUUCCAGUGGGUGAUGUUCCUCUUCUGCCACAGUCCCUGGCGAUGUUGAUGUGAUUGCCAUCAGAGCUCAGAAGCACAGAGCAGAAUCAUCCCCUGGAGGAGGAUUCCCUUCAGUGUAAGAAGUUCUUACAGAAUUAAUCCUCAAAGACUGUGGGUGGACUCUGCCAGGUUUUUCCCCGGGUGUACCAGAAGAGAGGAAGAGCCCUCAAAUACAGGAAAGUGCUCUUUUCAGUGACAGUAGUUCUUUUGGGCCCUGUGGCUAAGUGUGCUCCCACCCCAGCAGUAAGAUCACAGCUAAUCCUGAGAGGCAAGAGCUCACACCAGGCUACUGAAAGAAAAAGUGUCCUUUGUGGAUUGCAAGAGGAACUGGGACACACUGCUGGAAAUGAAGUGGCAGGUCAUAAACUAUCAUAAACUCAGGAGGAGAGGUGUUCCUUUUUGAGACACUCAUCACAACUAGAGAGAAUGCAGCUAAGAAAAUGCAGUCUUUAGGGGGACCUGGACUGUUGAAGUAUUUGAGCUAUUCGGAGGAAAUAGAAACUUGGAAGAGAUCUUUGUUCCACUAUUAUUUGGCAGCCCCUUACCCGCAGCUGCCAUUACUCCAGAUUCUCUCUGAUGAUCCUGCAUCAGGAGAAUGAGUUGACUGGGCACCACUGGGAAAUGUGGGCAGCUCCAGGCUGAACUAGAGAAGGGGCAUGUCAAAGGUCACUUAUUUGUGGCUUGACCCUUUGGAGGCCAGAUGUAAGAAUCAAUUUCUCACAGGUCCCAUGCUAACGCUUUUCAUAUUUAUUUCCAUCUGAGACUCACUUAGGCUAGGCAAAUAUCCCAUGGGUCUGUACCUCUCCAGUGCUUUCUUGCUCAUGUAAAAUUAGCUCAUUGGAAUGAAUAAAGAGAAUGGUAUUACUUUGGCUCGAACACGAAUGAGCACUUUCACUUUGUCAUAGUGUAAAUAUUAAAGUUGUAAGAGACAGCCCAGGGACCAACUAUUUUUUUUUUAAAGAUCCAAGUGCUUGCAUAGUUUCUAAAAUUCUACACCGGGGAACUAUAUCCUCAUUCAGCACUGAGACUCCUUGGUUCCCUAAAACCAAAGUCUCCAGGUGCCUUCAGGGGCCAACCAAGAUGGAGCUCCUUAUAGACCCAUGCAAUGUCAGAACUGGAAAACUUAGAAAUCUUUCAGUCCACCCAUCAUUUUAUGGGUGGCAAACUGAGAUCCAGAGAAUGCUCAAAUCUCAUAAUUAGCUAUGAAAGGUUAUGAUUAAAAUGCAAAUUUGGGGCCUCCAAUUUGGUCCUCUUUUCACUCUCCUUCUUGCUGGGGAAAGAACAGUGAUUCCUUGAUUGGCAGAGCAGAAAAUAUCUUCAGUUUUUAGGAUGACUUUAUUCCCCUAAAGAGUAUCUUUGUCACAUCUCCUCCUUGUCCAUUUUUAGAGACUCUACAGUGUUUAGCUACUGGUAGAUUUGUUCUAGUGGAUCUGGUACAAAUCUUAUAGAAAUAUCUACAAUUAUUCCAUGUUAUUCUGAAAUUAUUCAUACAGCAUUUCUUCUGUUUUAUUAGCCAUUUUUAAGGGAGAAGGAACCUAAGAUUAAUUGCUAUGGCUACAUGUCAUGCUCACCAAUGAACUCACCUCAUUUUAAUCCUCAUGAUCUAUUAUAGUAGGAAUGCUUGUUGUACAUAAGUAUUCAGGAUUACUGAAUCCACUUGAAUUUUUUGAGGACAGUGGCCAAAUACAAUUCUGUGGUCAAUUUAGGCUGCUCCUACUGUUCCCUGAUGUUAGGCAUUUUCUUCCACUAGGUCCUCUGGAAGGAUGAAAAACAAGGCAUUAUUAUACUUUUGAAUAAAAAUGGUUUGCCAAACAGAUUAUGUUUGUAGUUUGUGCUGUUGAACAGAAAUAAUAAAGAACUCUACUUGAAGUCUGAAACAAAUUCAGGAAAAAAUUAAAGGCAGUUUUAUUUUACAUAGUAGGGAGUAGAUUUUAGGAACUCCUUGCUCCUGGGGUAGAGCAUAUGAAUGUGUAUUCUAGAGAGAUUCAGACAAAUUCACUUAUGUUAGACAAAUGACUUUAAGGGAAACUAGGAAUGUUUUCAGGGCACAUAACCUUGUAUUUAAAAGAUACUGUUAUUAGAUCAUUUUUUCUCAUUAUAAAAAUAUGUUUUCAUUGAAGAAGAAAUUGUGGUUUACAUACAAUUAUAAAAAGAA